AGCGAACGCUGGCGGCAGGCUUAACACAUGCAGGUCGAGCGGGCACUUCGGUGUCAGCGGCAGACGGGUGAGUAACACGUGGGAACGUACCCUUUGGUUCGGAAUAACGCUGGGAAACUAGCGCUAAUACCGGAUACGCCCUUUUGGGGAAAGGCUUGCUGCCGAAGGAUCGGCCCGCGUCUGAUUAGCUAGUUGGUGGGGUAAUGGCCUACCAAGGCGACGAUCAGUAGCUGGUCUGAGAGGAUGAUCAGCCACACUGGGACUGAGACACGGCCCAGACUCCUACGGGAGGCAGCAGUGGGGAAUAUUGGACAAUGGGCGCAAGCCUGAUCCAGCCAUGCCGCGUGAGUGAUGAAGGCCUUAGGGUUGUAAAGCUCUUUUGUCCGGGACGAUAAUGACGGUACCGGAAGAAUAAGCCCCGGCUAACUUCGUG
RNAcentral lists this ribosomal RNA (433 nucleotides) under uncultured bacterium. RNAcentral's name for it is "partial 16S ribosomal RNA". It matches the Rfam family "Bacterial small subunit ribosomal RNA", at positions 29 to 507 of the family's 1533-position model. The record is from RNAcentral.